UGGGGAAUUUUGGACAAUGGGCGCAAGCCUGAUCCAGCCAUGCCGCGUGAGUGAAGAAGGCCUUCGGGUUGUAAAGCUCUUUUGUCCGGGAGCAAGUCCUACUGGCUAAUAUCUGGUGGGGAUGAGAGUACUGGAAGAAUAAGCACCGGCUAACUACGUGCCAGCAGCCGCGGUAAUACGUAGGGUGCAAGCGUUAAUCGGAAUUACUGGGCGUAAAGCGUGCGCAGGCGGUUUUGUAAGCCAGAUGUGAAAUCCCCGAGCUUAACUUGGGAACUGCGUUUGGAACUACAAGACUAGAGUGUGUCAGAGGGGGGUAGAAUUCCACGUGUAGCAGUGAAAUGCGUAGAGAUGUGGAGGAAUACCGAUGGCGAAGGCAGCCCCCUGGGAUAACACUGACGCUCAUGCACGAAAGCGUGGGGAGCAAACA
RNAcentral lists this ribosomal RNA (427 nucleotides) under uncultured prokaryote. RNAcentral describes it as "bacterial SSU rRNA". It matches the Rfam family "Bacterial small subunit ribosomal RNA", at positions 355 to 774 of the family's 1533-position model. The record is from RNAcentral.